Molecule: transfer RNA, 86 nt
Filed under: human gut metagenome
Also listed under: 1 other name
Rfam family: tRNA
About the family: Transfer RNA (tRNA) molecules are approximately 80 nucleotides in length.
Source: RNAcentral
GAGAGAUGGCUGAGUUGGUCGAAGGCGCACGACUGGAAAUCGUGUAGUGCAGGAAUGUACUCAAGGGUUCGAAUCCCUUUCUCUCC